GUGCUCGCUUCGGCAGCACAUAUACUAAAAUUGGAACGAUACAGAGAAGAUUAGCAUGGCCCCUGAGAAAGAAUGGGAAUCUGGAGACCGAAUAAUCUCAGUUAAAA
Molecule: small nuclear RNA, 107 nt
Organism: Myotis lucifugus (little brown bat)
Lineage: Eukaryota; Metazoa; Chordata; Mammalia; Chiroptera; Vespertilionidae
Source: Ensembl